This 23-nucleotide microRNA is filed under the name Macaca fascicularis (crab-eating macaque). Its description in RNAcentral is "novel_miR43-3p". The record is from RNAcentral. Lineage: Eukaryota; Metazoa; Chordata; Mammalia; Primates; Cercopithecidae.
UCCUUGAUGGGGCUGUGAUGUGA